CUCACUGAGCGCACUGCAUUUGUGUGGAUUCUCCUGAUUCUCGAGGUUGAUAGCCAGGCACAAGUUCCCGUCCUUCACGGAGUGAACUGGGGCAGAUUGACGUUUACCACUGACAAAUGAGCUGCUGUGACUGUAGAGCUCCGGAAAAUACUCCUCCUCCCGCAUUAACUGUGCUAUAGGAGUUUGUGUCCUUGCGAAGGGGACCAGUCCAGUCACUGUUUUCUACGGUUAUUUUACCAUUUUGUUUCUUUUGGUUAUUUGCCUUGGUUGAUUAUUUUCUUGUGAUUUCAUUUACA
This is a long non-coding RNA of Perca fluviatilis (European perch), 296 nucleotides long. RefSeq lists it as uncharacterized. NCBI's taxonomy places the organism in Eukaryota, Metazoa, Chordata, Actinopteri, Perciformes, Percidae. The transcript is spliced from 4 exons. The record is from RefSeq and is a predicted model, not a curated record.